UUGACCUCAAAUCGGGUGAGACUACCCGCUGAACUUAAGCAUAUCAAUAAGCGGAGGAAAAGAAACUAACAAGGAUUCCCCUAGUAACUGCGAGUGAAGCGGGAAAAGCUCAANUUAAAAUCUGGUGGCUUUGGUCAUCCGAGUUGUAAUUUAGAGAAGCGUCUUCCGCGCUGGAC
This 176-nucleotide ribosomal RNA is filed under the name uncultured Russula. RNAcentral's name for it is "partial 28S ribosomal RNA". It matches the Rfam family "Eukaryotic large subunit ribosomal RNA", at positions 1 to 175 of the family's 3401-position model. The record is from RNAcentral. Lineage: Eukaryota; Fungi; Basidiomycota; Agaricomycetes; Russulales; Russulaceae.